ACGGAAGGCAGCAGUGGGGAAUAUUGCACAAUGGGCGAAAGCCUGAUGCAGCGACGCCGCGUGAGUGAAGAAGUAUCUCGGUAUGUAAAGCUCUAUCAGCAGGGAAGAAAAUGACGGUACCUGACUAAGAAGCCCCGGCUAACUACGUGCCAGCAGCCGCGGUAAUACGUGGGGGGCAAGCGUUAUCCGGAUUUACUGGGUGUAAAGGGAGCGUAGACGGUUUGGCAAGUCUGAAGUGAAAUGCGGGGGCUCAACUCCUGAACUGCUUUGGAAACUGUCGAACUAGAGUGCAGGAGAGGUAAGUGGAAUUCCUAGUGUAGCGGUGAAAUGCGUAGAUAUUAGGAGGAACACCAGUGGCGAAGGCGGCUUACUGGACUGUAACUGACGUUGAGGCUCGAAAGCGUGGGGAGCAAACAGGAUUAGAUACCCUGGUA
RNAcentral lists this ribosomal RNA (434 nucleotides) under uncultured Clostridium sp. RNAcentral's name for it is "partial 16S ribosomal RNA". It matches the Rfam family "Bacterial small subunit ribosomal RNA", at positions 341 to 792 of the family's 1533-position model. The record is from RNAcentral. Lineage: Bacteria; Bacillati; Bacillota; Clostridia; Eubacteriales; Clostridiaceae. RNAcentral also lists the same sequence under 1 other name.